Molecule: ribosomal RNA, 447 nt
Filed under: uncultured organism
Description: partial 16S ribosomal RNA
Rfam family: Bacterial small subunit ribosomal RNA
Source: RNAcentral
ACUCCUGCGGGAGGCAGCAGUGGGGAAUUUUACGCAAUGGGGGAAACCCUGACGUAGCGACACCGCGUGAGCGAAGAAGCCCUUUGGGGUGUAAAGCUCUGUCGGCUGGAACGAAAACAAUGACGGUACCAGCAGAGGAAGCAUCGGCUAACUACGUGCCAGCAGCCGCGGUACGACGUAGAAUGCGAGCGUUGUCCGGAUUUAUUGGGCGUAAAGAGUUCGUAGGUGGUUUGUUAAGUUUGGUGUUAAAGAUCGGGGCUCAACCCUGGGACUGCACUGAAUACUGGCAGACUCGAGUGUGGUAGAGGCUAGUGGAAUUCCCAGUGUAGCGGUGAAAUGCGUAGAUAUUGGGAAGAACACCGGUGGCGUAGGCGACUAGCUGGGCCAUAACUGACGCUGAGGAACGAAAGCCAGGGGAGCGAAUGGGAUUAGAAACCCUAGUAGUCC